Molecule: long non-coding RNA, 1206 nt
Organism: Megalobrama amblycephala (Wuchang bream)
Lineage: Eukaryota; Metazoa; Chordata; Actinopteri; Cypriniformes; Xenocyprididae
Exons: 3
Source: RefSeq, a predicted model, not a curated record
UCCAUCGCGCUAUCAUUGGAUGUAAUUGGUUAAGAUUGGAUAUGAUUGGUUUGUGCGAUAAAUCCCGCCUCUCGUUGACGUGCGCGUUCCGCGCGUAGAUUUGACUGAACAAAUAAUGGCGUCAACCGGAAGACUAAUUGAAAAUGGCCUCCUGGGCCCCUUGCGGUUCCCCCCUGAUGCCUGCUGGCACAUUGACAGAGGUCAGAAUAAUAAACAGCAUGCUGAUGGACCUUGACCUGAGAAAGACCAUGCGACUCCAGAGAGCUGAACACUGGAAAAUGUGUCAGGCCAAGACCACGGGCCUGGAGAAAACACUGUCUGGAGCUGCAGAGAACCGCUGAGAGAGUGCUGAUAGCUGAACUGAACAGCGGCUACCAGUCAGCCUAGUAGAGAGAGCGAGAGUUGUGGCUCCAGUUGGUGUGUUUUAUCUGAGUAAUUAGCUGUAAUCAGUCCUCUCAGCUCUCUGGGUGUUCCAGAGCCCCAUUUUCACACGCUGACACACACACACACACAGGCACAGCAAAUAUGGAGCUAACACUAUUCUGACAUGCAAUUACUUCACAGAAUUUCACAAUUGUCUUCAUUGCACCAGACCUUUUAUGAAAUAUUUUUAUGAAAUAUAUGGCUAGUGACAAUACAAAAAAAUAUGAAAGGGCAACCUUUUGUAGUUAAUGACUAGGAAUAUACUGUACAAACAUGAACAAUCUUAAAAGGAUAUCAAUGAAAUCAGAGAGAUUUCUGUCCAUCCAUUAGAAAAUGAUGCUUCAAAACAUUCUGUAAACUAAACAAAACAAGAAAUCUGUAUGAAUCAAGCGGUUUAAUCAAAGUCUUCUGAAGAGACGUGACGGCUUUAUAUGAUGAACAGAUUUAACAUUUUAUUCACAUUGAGCACUCAGAUGUAGUAAAUGGAAGCUCAAGUGUUAAAAAAAAAUCUUUUGUGUUUCGAAGAUAAACGAAAGUCUUAUGAGUUUAGAUGAGUAAUUGCUUAUUCAGUCAUAAAUUACAGAAUUUUCAUUUCUGGGUGAAUUAACACAACAUAAAAAUGUAUUCUUAAGUUAAUAAAUUAUAGUUUUUAGGCAAUUGCUUGUUACUUUGUGUAUUUCUGCUCCACCAAUGAAAAUUCAAAACGAAGUCAAACAGUAGCAACACAGUAGUGUUUUCAUUCAGUGUUUCUGAACGAAUCGCUUAACUGAAUGAUUCUGAGCA